Molecule: ribosomal RNA, 253 nt
Filed under: uncultured bacterium
Lineage: Bacteria
Description: partial 16S ribosomal RNA
Rfam family: Bacterial small subunit ribosomal RNA
Source: RNAcentral
UACGGAGGGUGCAAGCGUUAUCCGGAUUCACUGGGAUUAAAGGGUGCGUAGGUGGAUUGGUAAGUCAGUGGUGAAAUCUCCGGGCUUAACUCGGAAACUGCCAUUGAUACUAUCAGUCUUGAAUACCGUGGAGGCCAGUACAAUAUGUCAUGUAGCGGUGAAAUGCUUAGAUAUGACAUAGAAUACCAAUUGCGAAGGCAGCGGGCUACGCGAAUAUUGACACUCAGGCACGAAAGCGUGGGGAUCAAACAGG